GAAUUUGGGACAUAGGAAGGUGAAUCCACAAUGAUGGGGGAGACAUGGCAAUGGGAGGCCAGAGAAAGAAGCUGAGAGAUCACAUCUUCAACAACAUGCAGAAAUCAGAGUGCAAGAACUGGAAAUGGGGGGAGUAUAUAACCCCCAGAGCCCACCCUCAGUUCUCCCAGGAAGACUCCCAUCCGUGACCUUCCCAGACUGUGCCACCAGCUGGAGGCAGAAUGCUGAAAUCUACAAACGAGUGGGGGACAUUUCUCAUUCAAACCACCAGAUACCAUACAAAGGCAAACCAAGGAGACCAACACCAGAAGGCCUGCUAACACUCCCAUGCCUGCCCAUUCCUUCAGAUGAUUCAUGGCUGCAGCAAUCCAUGAUGAUAAUCCUGUGGCUAGUCCUGCGUCCACUCUGGUAGAAUUUA
Molecule: long non-coding RNA, 418 nt
Organism: Meriones unguiculatus (Mongolian gerbil)
Lineage: Eukaryota; Metazoa; Chordata; Mammalia; Rodentia; Muridae
Exons: 3
Source: RefSeq, a predicted model, not a curated record